CCUGAGAAACCCAAAAGAUCGAAUGGGGAGAUUCACCCUCAGCGGCUCCGGCUUCCGUGCGGCGCGCGAUGGCGGGGACUUCGGUCUCGCGUCACGCCGUCGCUGCGGUACGUCCGGGGUCGUCGUCGUGCACUUCUCCCCUAGUAGGACGUCGCGACCCGUUGGGUGUCGGAUCGAUGGCCGGUCGGUCGUCUGUUGCGCUCGCGCGCUUCAGACCGAUUCGGUCGAAAGUCCGGCUGCCCGGCGGUAUUGAACGUUUUGAACUCUGGUAUCGAGCCGCAUUCGAAUGCGUUCCGGCUCGUCGGCAGGCUCGUCUCGCUCGGAUUUACGGACCUAGCGCCGUUGCCGGGCGCUUGGCGCGGCCGUUAGUCGACGAUGACCUCGAACAGGCUCUUACUACCGGUCGGCGACGCUACUGCUUUGGGUACUUUC
This 432-nucleotide ribosomal RNA is filed under the name Hoplocrepis sp. RDB-1999. Its description in RNAcentral is "eukaryotic LSU rRNA". Lineage: Eukaryota; Metazoa; Arthropoda; Insecta; Hymenoptera; Eulophidae. The record is from RNAcentral.